CAAUAGCGUAUAUUAAAGUUGUUGCAGUUAAAAAGCUCGUAGUUGAAUUUCUGGCGGGCGCGCCGGUCUUCCAAGUGUUGUACUGGGCGCAGUCCGCCAUCCUUGUGGAGAGGGCUCGCAUUGAGUUGCGUGUCGGAUCUGCAUCAUUUACUGUGAAAAAAUUAGAGUGUUUAAAGCAGGCUGUCGCUUGAAUACAUUAGCACGGAAUAAUAAGAUAGGACUUCGGUCUAUUUUGUUGGUUGCGAACCGAGGUAAUGAUUAAUAGGGAUAGUUGGGGGUAUUCAUAUUUAAUUGUCAGAGGUGAAAUUCUUGGAUUUAUGAAAGAUGAACAACUGCGAAAGCAUUUACCAAGGAUGUUUUCAUUAA
Molecule: ribosomal RNA, 366 nt
Filed under: uncultured eukaryote
Lineage: Eukaryota
Description: partial 18S ribosomal RNA
Rfam family: Eukaryotic small subunit ribosomal RNA
Source: RNAcentral